GCCUUAUCAGUAUUAAAUUUAUCAAAAAUCCCAAUAACUCAACACAGAAUUUGCACCCUAACCAAACAUUACAAACACCACUAGCUAACAUAACACGCCCAUACACAGACCACAAAAUGAAUUACCUACGCAAGGGGUAAUGUACAUAACAUUAAUGUAAUAAAGACAUAAUAUGUAUAUAGUACAUUAAAUUAUAUGCCCCAUGCAUAUAAGCAAGUACAUGACCUCUAUAGCAGUACAUAAUACAUAUAAUUAUUGACCGUACAUAGUACAUUAUGUCAAAUUCAUUCUUGAUAGUAUAUCUAUUAUAUAUUCCUUACCAUUAGAUCACGAGCUUAAUUACCAUGCCGCGUGAAACCAGCAACCCGCUAGGCAGGGAUCCCUCUUCUCGCUCCGGGCCCAUAAACCGUGGGGGUCGCUAUCCAAUGAAUUUUACCAGGCAUCUGGUUCUUUCUUCAGGGCCAUCUCAU
This 470-nucleotide unclassified non-coding RNA is filed under the name Bos taurus (domestic cattle). The record is from RNAcentral. Lineage: Eukaryota; Metazoa; Chordata; Mammalia; Artiodactyla; Bovidae.